This 209-nucleotide long non-coding RNA is filed under the name Lathyrus oleraceus (garden pea). Its description in RNAcentral is "Pisum sativum (pea) long non-coding RNA (PSAT_LNC011046)". Lineage: Eukaryota; Viridiplantae; Streptophyta; Magnoliopsida; Fabales; Fabaceae. The record is from RNAcentral.
AUCAGAGGCUCCUGCAACUUAUUCUUUUAUUUUUUCAAUGCCCCUUGGCAAUCAUUAUUCCACCUGACCGUUUGAUCUUUUUUCCCUUGAAUGGGUUCCCACGUGGCUGUUAGGUGAGAUGUGAACCAUGACAUGUAGUUCAAUCUACCUAGGAGACCACGAACCUCUUUCCAUCCUCGGUUCAGGUAUUUCUCUUAUUGUUUUUUUUU